GUCAAGAGAUCAAAGGCUUGGAAUCUUUAUAUCUCUCAUGAUAUUUCUCCACCUUCUCCAUUGUCUGUUUGGGGCGCCAUGGCGUCCAGCAUGGUUAUCAAGGUUCGAUAUUUUGGAACCUCAAAGGUUAAAGUUGGGGACAGAGAGAGGUAUUUGAAAGCUCCUAUUGAUGAGAACGGACAACUGAGUUUUGACAUGGGUGGAUUGAGGGAGAAAAUCUGCAGUACUUGUUAUCUCCCACCUGGUUCAGACAUUACUCUAGUGUAUAUCGAUGAAGAUGGUGAUGUAGUUACUCUUGUUGACGACGAUGAUCUGCGAGAUGCAAUGAGGCAGCAUCUGAAAUCCUUCAGGAUUGAUGUACUGAUGAACGAUAACGAAGUUUAUCGCAAAUCAAGCUCCAAAAGGAGUACUCGAGUGAUGAUGGAUUCUGUUGGAUCGAGUCUUGGCACUAGUGAUGACAACAUGGAGACCAACAGAGCUAGUACCAGUGGUUAUGCAACUCGUGAUAAUGAUUAUACAAGUAGCCCUUCUUUCCAUGAACGCUCCUUCAUUGCAGAUGACCUGGUUAAUCCUACUGUUGCUUGUUUUAAAAGGAACUACUCUGAAGCCAUAAGUGGUAUGAUGCUUCAUACCGGUGCUUGCUCUGAUGGCUGUGGUUGCAAUCCAAUAACUGGAUCUAGGUUCAAGUCCAUUUUGUGAGGAACCUACUUAAAUCAUAGUAACAUAAUAUCCUAGUAACGAAAACAUUGUCCAAAUCUUAUCAAUCAUUGACAUUCGUUUCUGCAGAAGAGAAGAUUAUAACCUCUGCCGUGUCUGCAUUGCAAGUAGGGCCCUAGCUACAUAGGCUGAUGCUUCCCUCGAGAGAACUCACUCUUUGAGAGCUUUCAAGAUUCAAACCUGAAUCUGCUUCAUGAGAAAUGUGGUCCUAAACUCUAAAGAACCUGGAAACAUAGAUGUAAAUCUUCAACGAGCAUUCAGUGGUGAUUUUUUUGCAGCUGAGCAGCUCUAAAUGAACAGCUUAAAACUAUGACCAGGAACUCCAAUCCCCUAUAUAUUACCUUGAUUAUGACCAGUUUUUCAGUCACAAUCCUAAUUUUUUUCCUUUAAUUCUUUAAGAAUCAACUGUGUAUACUAUGAGCACACACUUUUGUUUUGGGCUUUUUAGUUCACCAACAAUAUCUUGUCUACUACUACCAGCACCUGCUACAGUAAGUCUUGUUGGUUUUGUUUUGUCAAUUGGGUUGCUUUCUAAGCCAUAAUGUAUUGUUCAUGAAAGUGAAACAGAGCAAG
This is an RNA transcript of Rosa chinensis, 1290 nucleotides long. RefSeq lists it as uncharacterized. NCBI's taxonomy places the organism in Eukaryota, Viridiplantae, Streptophyta, Magnoliopsida, Rosales, Rosaceae. The transcript has 3 exons. The record is from RefSeq and is a predicted model, not a curated record.